RNAcentral lists this ribosomal RNA (440 nucleotides) under uncultured bacterium. RNAcentral describes it as "bacterial SSU rRNA". It matches the Rfam family "Bacterial small subunit ribosomal RNA", at positions 958 to 1392 of the family's 1533-position model. The record is from RNAcentral.
AACGCGAAGAACCUUACCAAGGCUUGACAUGAACCGGUAACGCCUGGAGACAGGUGCCCCGCUUGCGGUCGGUUUACAGGUGGUGCAUGGUUGUCGUCAGCUCGUGUCGUGAGAUGUUGGGUUAAGUCCCGCAACGAGCGCAACCCUUGUUCUGUGUUGCCAGCAUGCCCUUCGGGGUGAUGGGACUCACAGGAGACUGCCGGGGUCAACUCGGAGGAAGGUGGGGACGACGUCAAGUCAUCAUGCCCCUUAUGACCUGGGCUACACACGUGCUACAAUGGAUGGUACAAAGGGCAGCAAAACCGCGAGGUUGAGCCAAUCCCAUAAAGCCAUUCUCAGUUCGGAUCGUAGGCUGCAACUCGCCUACAUGAAGCCGGAAUUGCUAGUAAUCGCGGAUCAGCAUGCCGCGGUGAAUACGUUCCCGGGCCUUGUACACACCG